UUUGUUUGGUCUUAAUUGAAAAGGCUCAAUUUCGAAUAGCCCAAAAUAUUGAGCCUACACCCAUUCCUCAUUUGACCUAACAUAAUUCCUACCCCUAUAAAAUAUAACUCAUAAAUUAAAAUGGACCCAAGACCUAGACAUAAGCGAGAACGGCAGAUUCAUUUUGGCUAAAAAACAAAGAUCGCCUACCCCCAUCUCCCGGACGAGCAGCAGACAAACGAUCCUCAUUUCCAUGGCUGCCAUUCCAAAAUUCUAAGGAGGCCAUCUUCUUAAAAGCUUAAGUAGACCCACAAAACUCUUGCUUCUUUUUCAAAAUCGGUCGUCCAAUCCUUAAGAGAACUUGGUCCAAUUUUGAACUUCUACCUUAUCUUCACAAAAACACUACAAAUGAGAAUCUAAAUAAACACCAAAAAACCUUCAGCCACUACCUUCUUGGACAAAAAAAAACCAAAAUUGCAUCACUGCUCCUUCUUUUGUUUUAGUUGAAAUGCAGCUCCAAACAACCCUUUCGUGCAUAUUUUCGGAAGGUUUCGAGGUUGUCGGUGAGGUUCUGCUUAAGUACGCUAGUCGUGCCUUGGAUGUCGCUCUCUCGUCGGUCCAGGCGAUGAAAUUGGAUUUCAAGUUUCAGAGUUUGUUUUGUCCUUUUUCUCCAAUUGCAAAGAAAUCAAUAAAGGUUCAAUAUCUAUCUUCAAUCUCUGUUAUUGAUCUUAUUUGUGCGUCGAUUUCGUUGAAGAUUAUUUGUUGUAUUUGUUUUACCUAAAUCAUAUGUUGCUUAGAGGAUGAUCUGUUAAGUAAGGUUCUACUCUUUUGAGAUAGAAAUCUGAUUUCUAACUUUAAUUUCCAUAGUUACACAAGUAUCUAUUGUUUAAUAAAAUUUUAAGAAAAAAAAAAAGAAACAAGUGGGAGUAUUUUUUUUUUUGGUAAAAAAAAAAUGGGUAUAAACUGGUGUUUAAUUGUUAAUUCACUGACGGUGUGCAUUAAAAGGAAUCUGGUCUAGAUGUAAGUUGAUCCAUUUUUUGUGAUGGAGGGCAAAUAUCCGCAUGAUAUCUCGAGCAAUGUUGAACUUCUUAUUCCCAAUGGCUUCUGAUUCUGAAAGUUCUUAUUUAGAUGUAGUUUCUUAUUUAGAUGUAGAGAGCUUAGAUUGCAUUUUGUUAUUCCUACUUGAAGCUUUAUCCAAUAAAAAAAUAUUAAUCAAAUACUAUAAUUUUUUUAUAACUAUUUUUUCCAUAACUUAUGGCCCACACAUAAAUAAAAUUAGUAUAGAAAAUGCUUCGAACUUUUGUAAUUUGCUUUAGGCGUGAUUAAUAAAUAAAUCUUCGUGACCAUGAGUACGGUUCCCAUGGCAUAGUUGCGAUACAUAACUCCAAAUCCGGGGGUACAUUUCAUUUGGCCCGGUUUUAAUUUUCUAACAAGGUUAAAUAGAACGUAUCGUGAAUCACGGGUGCAUUUCAUGUAGCGUGUCUUGCGAUGUGUUUUAAAUAACCUUGAAAUAAUUCCUUAAACAAAUAAAAGCGGUUUUAAAGUUAAAAAUGCGCAUAGGUUUAAAAUUGUUCUAAAAUUAGAUAAUACGCCAAUUGUAAUAGUUUGAGCGACUGUGCUAGAAUCACGGAACUCGGGAAUGCCUAACACCUUCUCCGGGGUUAACAGAAUUCCUUACCCGGAUUUCUGUAUUCGCAAACCGUAAAUAGAGUCAACUUCCCCGAUUCGGAAUUUGAACCGGUGACUUGAGACGCCAUAAAUUUCCCAAGUGGCGACUCUGAAUCUUUUAAUAAAUAAAUCUCGUUUCGACUGUCCUUAAAUUGGAAAAACUCCCUUUAUACCCUUUUUCGGGGGUGUAGGUAAAGAGGAGGUGUGACAUAUCUUAAAGUGUUCAGAUCUGUAAUUACCUUAUUGUUUUGAGUUGUCUAUUUAACUGAAAGCAUGCCUACGUUUUUGUACGUUGUCGCUAUUAUAUUUUUUGAGGUUAAGUUCGUCACUGUCUUUCAGUCCAUUGUUUGGACUAGUUACUUACUGAGUUGGUGUACUCACGUUACUCCCUACAACUUGUGUGCAGAUCUAGGCACUUUUGGACCCAGUGGAAGCUGCUGAUCGAAGCUUCAGACUUAGGAGACUAUCGAGGUAUCUAUACGGUGUUCGCAGGCCUUAACUCUCCCUCUUUAUCUCUAGAUGUAUUUUAGUUUAUUUACUUUAAAUAUUGUAAUAGACUAUGUUCUCCUCUAGACGCUUAUGAACUCAGUGACACCCCGGUUUUGGGCAGUUGUAUCGAAUUUUGAAUUUUAUUUUAUUUUCAAAAAUGUUCCUUAAUGAAUUGCCUUUUCCGUGUCUAUUGUGUAAAAAAAAUUCUAUUGCGGUGUUGGAUUAUUGAGUUGAAGCUAGCCCAGUUCCACGAUCUGCACCAUCAUGACGGGUCGAGUUUUGGAUCGUGACAAUUUGGUAUCAGAGCCUAGGUUACAUAGGUCUCACGAUUCAUGAGCGGGUUUAGUAGAGUCUUGCGAUCGGUACGGAGAUGUCUGUACUUAUCUUCGAGAGGCUACAGAACCCUUAGGAAACUUUACAUUCUUGAAUUCUUGUCGUGCAAAUCUGUUGAUUCUGGUAACUAAACUUUUGUUAUUCUAUUCUCUCACAGAUGGUGAGGACAUGUGCUACCGUUUAGGGUGGACAACCACCAGUACCACCAGUUGGGGCCGCGAGAGGCCGUGAUAGGGGUAGGGGUGCAGCCCGCACAGCGGCUAGGGCAGCACUUAUAGAUCCACCAGUCGCCCCAGUGCAGGAUCAGGUUUCGGUGGUAGAUGCCUUAACUCAUAUUUUGACUGUGUGCACCAGUCUUGCUUAGGCAGUCUCUAUUCCAGCCGCAGCAGCUACUUCUCAGGUCGGGGAAGGUGUUUAGACUCUCGCCGCCUGCACACCAAAGCAGGUGGUGCAGGGACUUCAGACACCGGGGGCACCACCAGCCCAACCGGUUGCACCUGCUCAGGACUAUGUGGUUAAUGUUGUGCCUGAUGAUGAGCAGCGUAGAUUGGUGCGGUUUGGUAGACUUCAGCCUCCGGCUAUCAGUGGUGUAGAGGAUGAGGACG
RNAcentral lists this long non-coding RNA (3074 nucleotides) under Nicotiana tabacum (common tobacco). Its description in RNAcentral is "long non-coding RNA (NTAB_LNC010967)". The record is from RNAcentral. Lineage: Eukaryota; Viridiplantae; Streptophyta; Magnoliopsida; Solanales; Solanaceae.